AAUACCAGCUGGGCACACCUUGGACAUGCCUGAUCUCAUCUGAUGACAGAAGCUAAGCAGGGUUCGGCCUGCUUAGUACUUGGAUGGGAAAAUGCCUGGGACUACUAGAUGCUGUUGUAG
This is a non-coding RNA of Podarcis lilfordi (Lilford's wall lizard), 120 nucleotides long. The record is from the annotation of a GenBank genome assembly. Lineage: Eukaryota; Metazoa; Chordata; Lepidosauria; Squamata; Lacertidae.